AAGGCUUCAGCAAGACACAGUCAGAACUAUAAGUCUCAAAGCCCCGACGAGUAGGGUGGCGUGCCGGUGCGCGUUGAAGGCCAAGACGUGAGUCAGGCUGGAGCCGCCGGUAGUGCAGAUCUUGGUGGUAGUAGCAAGUACUCUGGUGAAGUAACCUGGAGCUGUGAGGUCUGGAUUAGGGUUCCAUGUCAACAGUGAUUGAACAUGGGUGAGUCGAACCUAAGCCAGCUGUGAAUGCAGUGACAUCCCUACAACGGGGACGCUCAAACAUGCAUCUCGGUGCUUACACCCCCUAGGCAUGCCUCUCUUGACAAGUUCUCUCUCUCUCAUGUAUGCAAACACGGUCUACAUAACCAAAGUGUGCCUGGUACUCAUGCGAGUCUCGUUCAAGUGAACAAAUAAAUAAAAGGCGCACACAUGAUGACCAUUACCUUCGCGGUGGUGAGAGUGACAGCGUCCGUAUGGCUAGCUAUCUGUCGGGAUGAGGAUGUAAGUCGCUCACACAAUGAUCACUACCAAUAUUAGUGAGUGUCUGCGCAACUGUCUGAAUACGCUCAUAAGCGUUGUAUUGUCAUAGGAGCAUUCAAAGCCCCACAACCACACGAGAUGUGGUUGUGCUGGCUGUCAACAAAGUCGAGAAACGGAGAGAUAGAGAGAGAGAGAGCGUGAGAGAGUGGGUGAGCGUGAGUUAACCAUUGCACCUAGUCCCCCGCGUCUGGUUCUUUGUCCGGCGAAAGGGAAUGGGGACUUUUUUCCUUGACCGGUCCCGGCACCCUCGAUUGGCUUUGCCAAUCAAUGGUCCAUGCAAAUGGAACCAGGCCACAGCCGUCGGCAGUCGCCCGAGGAAGAGUUUUCUUUUCUGCUUAACGCAUGAGGUCAUUCCUGGAAACAGUUCGGCUGGCGAAAGGGUGUCGCUUGCGGCAGAGCGCCACGACUGUCGUGCGCGUCUCGGUGUUCCUGCUGAUCCGUGAAAACGUGGUCGAGGGGAAUGCUCUUGUAUCAACGAAACGUCCGACAAGUUCGGGACGGACCGUACCCUAUAUCCGCAUCUGGUCUCCAAGGUUACUAGCCUCUGCAGAGUCAGACACAUGUAGGUAAGGGAAGUCGGCAAACUCGAUCCGUAACUUCGGGAAAAGGAUUGGCUCUGAGGGCCGAGCUGGGCCGGGCCUUGCCUGCAAAGCAGUACCUAUAGUGACCGGAGUUUCAGGAGUGCGUGUGGCUCUAGUAGCUGCUUGUGCGCGUGCGCGCGUGUGGGCACGAACGGGUCCACCACUCCGCUCCAACCACGAACGGCUGUGACGGCAAGGGCUCUGGGCGGGAGCGGUCUAUCCGUUGGCCUCCAGCGCGUCUGGUUGGCGGCGGUGCUCUGUCUGACCCAUACGGCUCCAGCGGCUAGCGGCUAACUCAGAACUGUCAUGGACCAAGGGAAUCCGACUGUCUAAUUAAAACAAAGCGUCGUGACGGCCCCUGUUGGGUGUUGACGCGACGUGAUUUCUGCCCAGUGCUCUAA
This 1510-nucleotide ribosomal RNA is filed under the name Niphargus subtypicus. RNAcentral's name for it is "partial 28S ribosomal RNA". It matches the Rfam family "Eukaryotic large subunit ribosomal RNA", at positions 1332 to 2213 of the family's 3401-position model. The record is from RNAcentral. Lineage: Eukaryota; Metazoa; Arthropoda; Malacostraca; Amphipoda; Niphargidae.